CCUACGGGUGGCAGCAGUAGGGAAUCUUCCACAAUGAGCGAAAGCCUGAUGGAGCGACGCCGCGUGGGUGAAGAAGGUCUUCGGAUCGUAAAACCCUGUUGUUAGAGAAGAAAGUGCGUGAGAGUAACUGUUAACGUUUCGACGGUAUCUAAUCAGAAAGCGACGGCUAACUACGUGCCAGCAGCCGCGGUAAUCCGUAGGUGGCAAGCGUUAUCCGGAUUUAUUGGGCGUAAAGGGAACGCAGGUGGUCUUUUAAGUCUUAUUUGAAAGCCCUCGGAUUAACCGGGGUAGCGCAUUGGAAACUAGCAGACUUGAGUGCAGAAGAGGAGAGUGGAACUCCAUGUGUAGCGGUGAAAUGCGUAGAUAUAUGGAAGAACACCAGUGGCGAAAGCGGCUCUCUGGGCUGUAACUGACGCUGAGGUUCGAAAGCGUGGGUAGCAAACAGGAUUAGAUACCCUAGUAGUC
Molecule: ribosomal RNA, 465 nt
Filed under: uncultured bacterium
Lineage: Bacteria
Description: partial 16S ribosomal RNA
Rfam family: Bacterial small subunit ribosomal RNA
Source: RNAcentral